AUUGAACGCUGGCGGCAGGCCUAACACAUGCAAGUCGAGCGGAAGAAGGGAGCUUGCUCCUGGAUUCAGCGGCGGACGGGUGAGUAAUGCCUAGGAAUCUGCCUGGUAGUGGGGGAUAACGUCCGGAAACGGGCGCUAAUACCGCAUACGCCCUGAGGGAGAAAGGGGGGGAUCUUCGGACCUCACGCUAUCAGAUGAGCCUAGGUCGGAUUAGCUAGUUGGUGGGGUAAAGGCCUACCAAGGCGACGAUCCGUAACUGGUCUGAGAGGAUGAUCAGUCACACUGGAACUGAGACACGGUCCAGACUCCUACGGGAGGCAGCAGUGGGGAAUAUUGGACAAUGGGCGAAAGCCUGAUCCAGCCAUGCCGCGUGUGUGAAGAAGGUCUUCGGAUUGUAAAGCACUUUAAGUUGGGAGGAAGGGCAGUAAGUUAAUACCUUGCUGUUUUGACGGUACCAACAGAAUAAGCACCGGCUAACUUCGUG
This 484-nucleotide ribosomal RNA is filed under the name uncultured bacterium. RNAcentral describes it as "partial 16S ribosomal RNA". It matches the Rfam family "Bacterial small subunit ribosomal RNA", at positions 30 to 507 of the family's 1533-position model. The record is from RNAcentral.